This 67-nucleotide transfer RNA is filed under the name Astalotermes sp. A JRA-2021a. Its description in RNAcentral is "tRNA-Ile". Lineage: Eukaryota; Metazoa; Arthropoda; Insecta; Blattodea; Termitidae. The record is from RNAcentral.
AAUGAUGAGCCUGAGUUAAAGGACUAUCGUGAUAGGAUAAAACAUGUAGCUAAACCUACCUUCAUUA